Molecule: ribosomal RNA, 643 nt
Filed under: uncultured bacterium
Lineage: Bacteria
Description: bacterial SSU rRNA
Rfam family: Bacterial small subunit ribosomal RNA
Source: RNAcentral
CGCGGCCUAUCAGCUUGUUGGUGGGGUAGUGGCCCACCAAGGCGACGACGGGUAGCCGGCCUGAGAGGGUGACCGGCCACACUGGGACUGAGACACGGCCCAGACUCCUACGGGAGGCAGCAGUGGGGAAUAUUGCGCAAUGGGCGGAAGCCUGACGCAGCGACGCCGCGUGGGGGAUGACGGCAUUCGGGUUGUAAACCUCUUUCAGCAGGGACGAAGCGCAAGUGACGGUACCUGCAGAAGAAGCGCCGGCCAACUACGUGCCAGCAGCCGCGGUAAUACGUAGGGUGCAAGCGUUGUCCGGAAUUAUUGGGCGUAAAGAGCUCGUAGGCGGUUGGUCGCGUCGGCUGUGAAAACCCGGAGCUCAACUCCGGGCCUGCAGUCGAUACGGGCCGACUCGAGUGUUGCAGGGGAGACUGGAAUUCCUGGUGUAGCGGUGAAAUGCGCAGAUAUCAGGAGGAACACCGGUGGCGAAGGCGGGUCUCUGGGCAACAACUGACGCUGAGGAGCGAAAGCGUGGGGAGCGAACAGGAUUAGAUACCCUGGUAGUCCACGCCGUAAACGUUGGGCGCUAGGUGUGGGGGCCAUUCCACGGUCUCCGUGCCGCAGCUAACGCAUUAAGCGCCCCGCCUGGGGAGUACGG